UACCAGCUCUCCGAGUGGUAGGGAUGAUUAUUGGGCUUAAAACGUCCGUAGCCGGUUUAGUAAAUGCCUGGGUAAAUCGUGUAGCUUAACUAUACGACUUCCGGGUAGACUGCUAAACUUGAGACCGGGAGAGGCUAGAGGUACUCCUGGGGUAGAGGUGAAAUUCUGUAAUCCUAGGGGGACCACCAGUGGCGAAGGCGUCUAGCUAGAGCGGGUCUGACGGUGAGGGACGAAGCCCUGGGGCACAAACCGGAUUAGAUACCCGGGUAGUCCAGGGUGUAAACGCUGCUUGCUUGAUGUUAGUUGGGCUCCGAGCCCAACUAGUGUCGGAGAGAAGUUGUUAAGCAAGCUGCCUGGGAAGUACGGUCGCAAGGCUGAAACUUAAAGGAAUUGGCGGGGGAGCACAGCAACGGGUGGAGCGUGCGGUUU
Molecule: ribosomal RNA, 429 nt
Filed under: uncultured archaeon
Lineage: Archaea
Description: bacterial SSU rRNA
Rfam family: Archaeal small subunit ribosomal RNA
Source: RNAcentral